Nylanderia fulva is the source of this 777-nucleotide long non-coding RNA. RefSeq lists it as uncharacterized. Lineage: Eukaryota; Metazoa; Arthropoda; Insecta; Hymenoptera; Formicidae. The record is from RefSeq and is a predicted model, not a curated record.
CACCCGGUGUAUUAUGUAUAUGUGUUAUAGUAGACGUCGCGUGUUUCCGGUUGUGGAGAAAUGAAUUAGAGGCGGGAGAUAUAUAUAUAUAUAUAUAUAUAUAUGAGUGGUGGUAGUAGUAGUAGUGCUGGUGGUGCGGACCGGAGCAAGUGUCAAAGCUUUGUUUGGGUUAGUGCAAAUGAGGGGAUGGUGCUUGCGCGCCGCGACGACUAGAAAUGCCGAACGUGACUAGUCGGGUUCGCGGUUUUCAGCGAAGUCACGUUCCCGCAUUUAACUCCUAACGAUGUAUGCGGAAGACGUAUGAUUAUGUUUCUUUAUGCAAAGUGCGCCAAGUACACCGUCCAGCGAUCAAAUCGGAUCAUUAGAGGCUGCUUUAAAGAUACCUAAUGAUGAAGAACACGUUUGAAAGAAACGCGAUGUACCUCGCAUUAUAAAAGAAAAAUGUAUUAGUAAUUGUGAAUAAUAAAUCGAUAUGUAAAAAAUAGCGAUAUAAAUGAUAACACAAGUAUAAAAAGAAAUGAAAAAAUUCUCUAUGCAAAGUGUGUCAAGUAUGCUGUCCAGCGAUAAAAUCAGAUCAUUAGAAGCUGCUAGUAUCACAAUAGACAUUUUUAAAGAUACCUAAUAAUGGAGAAACACGUUUGAAAGAAACGCGAUGUAUAUUAUAAAAUAAAAAUGCAUUAAUAAUAAUUGUAAAUAAAUGGAUACAUAAAAAAUAGCGACACAAAUGAUAACGCAAGUAUAAAAAAAAUCAGAGGAAGCUUCUUCGUGCAUCUCGAG